RNAcentral lists this ribosomal RNA (500 nucleotides) under uncultured bacterium. Its description in RNAcentral is "partial 16S ribosomal RNA". It matches the Rfam family "Bacterial small subunit ribosomal RNA", at positions 30 to 523 of the family's 1533-position model. The record is from RNAcentral.
AUUGAACGCUGGCGGAAUGCUUUACACAUGCAAGUCGAACGGCAGCACGGACUUCGGUCUGGUGGCGAGUGGCGAACGGGUGAGUAACAUAUCGGAACGUACCCAAUAAUGGGGGAUAACGAGUCGAAAGAUUCGCUAAUACCGCAUACGCCCUACGGGGGAAAGCUGGGGACCUUCGGGCCUGGCGUUAAUGGAGCGGCCGAUAUCUGAUUAGCUAGUUGGUGAGGUAAAGGCUCACCAAGGCGACGAUCAGUAGCUGGUCUGAGAGGACGACCAGCCAAACUGGAACUGAGACACGGUCCAGACUCCUACGGGAGGCAGCAGUGGGGAAUUUUGGACAAUGGGCGAAAGCCUGAUCCAGCCAUUCCGCGUGCAGGAUGAAGGCCCUCGGGUUGUAAACUGCUUUUGUACAGAACGAAAAGGUUUCUACUAAUACUAGGAGCUCAUGACGGUACUGUAAGAAUAAGCACCGGCUAACUACGUGCCAGCCGCCGCCGUAA